This 253-nucleotide ribosomal RNA is filed under the name uncultured bacterium. Its description in RNAcentral is "partial 16S ribosomal RNA". It matches the Rfam family "Bacterial small subunit ribosomal RNA", at positions 524 to 776 of the family's 1533-position model. The record is from RNAcentral.
UACGUAGGUGGCAAGCGUUGUCCGGAUUUAUUGGGUUUAAAGGGUGCGUAGGCGGUCGCUUAAGUCAGUGGUGAAAUCCUAUAGCUCAACUAUAGAUGUGCCAUUGAUACUGAUUGACUUGAGUGAAGUCGAAGUAGGCGGAAUUGACGGUGUAGCGGUGAAAUGCUUAGAUAUCGUCAAGAACACCGAUAGUGAAGACAGCUUACUAGGCUUAUACUGACGCUGAGGCACGAAAGUGUGGGGAUCAAACAGG